UACGUAGGGUGCAAGCGUUAAUCGGAAUUACUGGGCGUAAAGCGUGCGCAGGCGGCUAUGCAAGACAGAUGUGAAAUCCCCGGGCUCAACCUGGGAACUGCAUUUGUGACUGCAUGGCUGGAGUGCGGCAGAGGGGGAUGGAAUUCCGCGUGUAGCAGUGAAAUGCGUAGAUAUGCGGAGGGACACCGAUGGCGAAGGCAAUCCCCUGGGCCUGCACUGACGCUCAUGCACGAAAGCGUGGGGAGCAAACAGG
RNAcentral lists this ribosomal RNA (253 nucleotides) under uncultured bacterium. RNAcentral's name for it is "partial 16S ribosomal RNA". It matches the Rfam family "Bacterial small subunit ribosomal RNA", at positions 524 to 776 of the family's 1533-position model. The record is from RNAcentral.